CAUUUGAAAGCUUCUAACUGCAGGGAAUUGAGCGAGCAGGGAGCUAUAUUUCUCCCUCUUUGCUUCUGCUGAUGGUAUUUGUUCUGCAGCUGAUUCAGGUACCGAUUUUAGAGCUACUAAAGUGCUAGAUCGCCCUUGCUACCUCUCAAGGCUAUCUAGCACUUUAGUAGCUCUAAAAUCGGUACCUGAAUCAGCUGCAGAACAAAUACCAUCAGCAGAAGCAAAGAGGGAGAAAUAUAGCUCUAAAAUCGGUACCUGAAUCAGCUGCAGAACAAAUACCAUCAGCAGAAGCAAAGAGGGAGAAAUAUAGCUCCCUGCUCGCUCAAUUCCCUGCAGUUAGAAGCUUUCAAAUGAGACAGACAACCAGA
This 368-nucleotide long non-coding RNA is filed under the name Corvus moneduloides (New Caledonian crow). Its description in RNAcentral is "lncRNA (ENSCMUG00000019294.1)". The record is from RNAcentral. Lineage: Eukaryota; Metazoa; Chordata; Aves; Passeriformes; Corvidae.